CCUACGGGUGGCAGCAGUGGGGAAUAUUGCACAAUGGGGGAAACCCUGAUGCAGCGACGCCGCGUGAGUGAAGAAGUAAUUCGUUAUGUAAAGCUCUAUCAGCAGGGAAGAAAAUGACGGUACCUGAGUAAGAAGCCCCGGCUAACUACGUGACAGCAGCCGCGGUAAAACGUAGGGGGCAAGCGUUAUCCGGAUUUACUGGGUGGAAAGGGAGCGUAGACGGCAGUGCAAGUCUGGAGUGAAAGGCGGGGGCUCAACCCCCGGACUGCUCUGGAAACUGUACGGCUGGAGUGCAUGCGAGGUAAGUGGAAUUCCUAGUGUAGCGGUGAAAUGCGUAGAUAUUAGGAGGAACACCAGUGGCGAAGGCGACUUACUGGACUGUAACUGACGUUGAGGCUCGAAAGCGUGGGGAGCAAACAGGAUUAGAUACCCCAGUAGUC
RNAcentral lists this ribosomal RNA (440 nucleotides) under uncultured bacterium. RNAcentral's name for it is "partial 16S ribosomal RNA". It matches the Rfam family "Bacterial small subunit ribosomal RNA", at positions 338 to 795 of the family's 1533-position model. The record is from RNAcentral.